RNAcentral lists this long non-coding RNA (331 nucleotides) under Equus caballus (horse). RNAcentral's name for it is "lncRNA (ENSECAG00000059548.1)". The record is from RNAcentral. Lineage: Eukaryota; Metazoa; Chordata; Mammalia; Perissodactyla; Equidae.
AGCCAAGAGAUCACCAAAGAAAUUAGUAUGUACUGAAAAGAAGGCCAAAGUGAAACUCCAUUAACUCCAACAUGGACAAGCGGAAAAAUUAACAAAGGAACAAUUAGGAGGAAUCAAUUAGCCUUAUUACUCUGAGGACAGUACGUGGUUUGGUAAAGAGUUUAACAAAGUCAAUAUUUCUUCUGGUUGUUGGACUAUGGAGAAUUUUCCACUGAUUCACAUUACAAUUAAGUUUGAUCUUCCACGACUGUCUACACCAGGUGGUAUAAUAGUCUGAGAAUAAUUCUUGGAGAUGGACUCAACUGUAAGCCAUCAAUGGACAACACUCCCA